RNAcentral lists this long non-coding RNA (459 nucleotides) under Lactuca sativa (garden lettuce). RNAcentral's name for it is "long non-coding RNA (LSAT_LNC001675)". Lineage: Eukaryota; Viridiplantae; Streptophyta; Magnoliopsida; Asterales; Asteraceae. The record is from RNAcentral.
GGUAGAAGAGAUUUUUUUUUUUCCAAUCAUUCGUUUUAUAAUACUCCAUUGAGAACUAAAAUAUCCGUUUCAAAUUAUGUAUUGAUGGAACUAAACAACGUCUCAUAUUUUGAUUGCCACUUUAAGAACCUAUCUUGAUAAUUUGUCAUGUCACUGUAAGGGCUCCAAGACAAAAAUAGUCAGCUUAAUUAGCAGAGAAGACUCUGUCGUUGUUACUUAUUGUAAGCCUGCAUAAAAUUUGUCAAAACAAAUGGUUAGGGGCAUAUGGUCACAAGCUAAAAAAUAAUAAUAAAAAAAAAAUAAAAAAAUAAAAACAUUUACCCUUAGGCUCAAAUCUAAGCUUCACAUUUUUGGAUUGACUUUCAAUUUUGAAUGUAGCAAGUAGCCAAGUCACCAUAGCCCAUAAACAAAGACAAAGUCAAAUAUAUUUAUAUGUAUAUAUAUCCUAGUUCAAUGUUA